This 221-nucleotide ribosomal RNA is filed under the name Enterococcus faecium. Its description in RNAcentral is "partial 23S ribosomal RNA". It matches the Rfam family "Bacterial large subunit ribosomal RNA", at positions 1613 to 1845 of the family's 2925-position model. The record is from RNAcentral. Lineage: Bacteria; Bacillati; Bacillota; Bacilli; Lactobacillales; Enterococcaceae.
AAAAGCUUCUAGUGAGAAAACAGCGGCCCGUACCGCAAACCGACACAGGUAGUCGAGGAGAGAAUCCUAAGGUGAGCGAGAGAACUCUCGUUAAGGAACUCGGCAAAAUGACCCCGUAACUUCGGGAGAAGGGGUGCUGAUCAUACGAUCAGCCGCAGUGAAUAGGCCCAAGCGACUGUUUAUCAAAAACACAGGUCUCUGCAAAAUCGUAAGAUGAAGUA